Molecule: unclassified non-coding RNA, 507 nt
Filed under: Hevea brasiliensis (rubber tree)
Lineage: Eukaryota; Viridiplantae; Streptophyta; Magnoliopsida; Malpighiales; Euphorbiaceae
Source: RNAcentral
CUCUCAAUAGCUCUGGAGUGAUCUACUCUCCUCUAUUCACCUUAUCAUCUGUGAAAGUAUCAAUUCCCUUCUGAUGUAAUGCCUUAGUAAGAAAAUGGGUAAAAUUAUCACGCGUAUCUCCACCCCUGAAACUAAUGAACACAUCGUAUUUCCAUUCAGGGGCUGUAGAAGAAGAGGAAGCCAUUCUGUAAAAAAUCGUCCUCCAGAACAAAAAUCACUUAUUUUUGCUAGAAUUCCCUCUGGUUCUUUGCAAACAAACAAAGAAUGACAUUGGACCCUAUGACAAAUCGAUCUAAGAUGCAAAAUCCGAAUAAAAUAAAGAAGCGUAAGAGUUUAAUGGUGAACUCAAAUAUUGCAGCAAAAGUGAAAUAGAGAAAUUGGCAGUAGAAGGACGAUUUGUAAAGCUGUGAUUUUGCAGAUUUUUAUAGAGACUCAUGGGAAGACGGAAAAGGGAAGAAAAAGAAUGGAAAGAGGAAACUCAAGAGGGGUGAAAAGAGAGAGGAAAAG